CGAUAAAAACCACUACCAAUAUCAUUAAGUCAGCUUGAGUUUGCUUUGUAGGACAAGUGGAAUAAAAUUCAACAUUAAACGCCCAGGAUGAUCAAUUCCACGGUGCUGUGGAUAUUGCACUGCACCACGGAGUUGUAAAUUUUGUGUUAGGACUUUGAGUUGAUGAUUUGACAUUGGAUAUUUCGUUUACUUUAUGCGCACA
RNAcentral lists this long non-coding RNA (202 nucleotides) under Mytilus galloprovincialis (Mediterranean mussel). Lineage: Eukaryota; Metazoa; Mollusca; Bivalvia; Mytilida; Mytilidae. The record is from RNAcentral.